RNAcentral lists this microRNA precursor (97 nucleotides) under Ailuropoda melanoleuca (giant panda). RNAcentral's name for it is "mir-544 microRNA precursor family". It matches the Rfam family "mir-544 microRNA precursor family". Lineage: Eukaryota; Metazoa; Chordata; Mammalia; Carnivora; Ursidae. The record is from Rfam by way of RNAcentral.
AUCACCUAGGGACCUUGUUAAAAUGCAAAUUCUGAUUCAAUAGGUUUGAGGUGGAGCCCAGAGUUGGCAUUUCUAACAAGCUCCCAGGUAAUCCUGA